RNAcentral lists this small RNA (123 nucleotides) under Marmota monax (woodchuck). The record is from RNAcentral. Lineage: Eukaryota; Metazoa; Chordata; Mammalia; Rodentia; Sciuridae.
GCCGGGCACGGUGGCUUAGCCUGUCAUCCCAGCUCUGGGGAGGCUGAGGCAGGAGGAUCGCGAGUUCAAAGCCAGCCUCAGCAAUGUGGAGGCACCGAGCAAUUCAGUGAGACCCUGUCUCUA